AGCAUAUCAAUAAGCGGAGGAAAAGAAACCAACAGGGAUUGCCCCAGUAACGGCGAGUGAAGCGGCAAGAGCUCAAAUUUGAAAGCUGGCUCCUUCGGGGUCCGCAUUGUAAUUUGCAGAGGAUGCUUCGGGAGCGGUCCCCAUCUAAGUUCCCUGGAACGGGACGUCAUAGAGGGUGAAAAUCCCGUAUGGGAUGGGGUGUCCGCGCCCGUGUGAAGCUCCUUCGACGAGUCGAGUUGCUUGGGAAUGCAGCUCUAAAUGGGUGGUAAAUUUCAUCUAAAGCUAAAUAUUGGCCGGAGACCGAUAGCGCACAAGUAGAGUGAUCGAAAGAUAAAAAGCACUUUGAAAAGAGAGUUAAAAAGCACGUGAAAUUGUUGAAAGGGAAGCGCUUGCGACCAGACUCGCUCGCGGGGUUCAGCCGGCAUUCGUGCCGGUGUACUUCCCCGCGGGCGGGCCAACGUCGGUUUGGGCGGUCGGUCAAAGGCCCUCGGAAGGUAACGCCCCCAGGGGCGUCUUAUAGCCGAGGGUGCAAUGCGACCUGCCUAGACCGAGGAACGCGCUUCGGCUCGGACGUUGGCAUAAUGGUCGUAAGCGACCCGUCU
RNAcentral lists this ribosomal RNA (602 nucleotides) under uncultured fungus. RNAcentral describes it as "eukaryotic LSU rRNA". It matches the Rfam family "Eukaryotic large subunit ribosomal RNA", at positions 37 to 654 of the family's 3401-position model. The record is from RNAcentral. Lineage: Eukaryota; Fungi.